UACUGGGCGUAAAGCGCGCGUAGGCGGUUUGUUAAGUCAGAUGUGAAAUCCCCGGGCUCAACCUGGGAAUGGCAUUUGAGACUGGCAGGCUAGAGUAUGGUAGAGGUGAGUGGAAUUUCAGGUGUAGCGGUGAAAUGCGUAGAGAUCUGAAGGAACAUCAGUGGCGAAGGCGACUCACUGGGCCAUUACUGACGCUGAGGUGCGAAAGCGUGGGUAGCAAACAGGAUUAGAUACCCUGGUAGUCCACGCCCUAAACGAUGUCAACUAGGUGUAUGGAGAAAAUAUUCUUUGUGUAUCGAAGCUAACGCGAUAAGUUGACCGCCUGGGGAGUACGGUCGCAAGACUAAAACUCAAAUGAAUUGACGGGGGCCCGCACAAGCGGUGGAGCAUGUGGUUUAAUUCGAUGCAACGCGAAGAACCUUACCUGGCCUUGACAUGUACGGAA
This 445-nucleotide ribosomal RNA is filed under the name uncultured bacterium. Its description in RNAcentral is "bacterial SSU rRNA". It matches the Rfam family "Bacterial small subunit ribosomal RNA", at positions 552 to 995 of the family's 1533-position model. The record is from RNAcentral.